CUAUACAUGCAGUCGAGCGCGAGAGUGAGGAGCUUGCUCCUCAUGAUCGGGCGGCGGACGGGUGAGUAACACGUAGGCAACCUACCCUUGAGAUUGGGAUAACUACCGGAAACGGUAGCUAAUACCGGAUACGACUUUACUGCAUAAGCAGUUCAGUUAAAAGGCGGAUUUAUCUGCCGCUCAUGGAUGGGCCUGCGGUGCAUUAGCUAGUUGGUGAGGUAGUGGCUCACCAAGGCGACGAUGCAUAGCCGACCUGAGAGGGUGAUCGGCCACACUGGGACUGAGACACGGCCCAGACUCCUACGGGAGGCAGCAGUAGGGAAUCUUCCGCAAUGGACGAAAGUCUGACGGAGCAACGCCGCGUGAGUGAUGAAGGGUUUCGGCUCGUAAAACUCUGUUGUUAAGGAAGAAUACUUGAGGUAGUAACUGGCCUUAAGAUGACGGUACUUAACCAGAAAGCCACGGCUAACUACGUGCCAGCAGCCGCGGUAAUACGUAGGUGGCAAGCGUUAUCCGGAAUUAUUGGGCGUAAAGCGCGCGUAGGCGGUAAAAUAAGUCUGAUGUGAGAGCCCCCGGCUCAACCGGGGAGGGUCAUUGGAAACUGUUUUACUUGAGUACAGAAGAGGAGAGUGGAAUUCCAUGUGUAGCGGUGAAAUGCGCAGAGAUAUGGAGGAACACCAGUGGCGAAGGCGGCUCUCUGGUCUGUAACUGACGCUGAGGUGCGAAAGCGUGGGGAUCAAACAGGAUUAGAUACCCUGGUAGUCCACGCCGUAAACGAUGAGUGCUAAGUG
RNAcentral lists this ribosomal RNA (791 nucleotides) under uncultured bacterium. RNAcentral's name for it is "bacterial SSU rRNA". It matches the Rfam family "Bacterial small subunit ribosomal RNA", at positions 49 to 822 of the family's 1533-position model. The record is from RNAcentral.